Molecule: long non-coding RNA, 2163 nt
Organism: Pseudopipra pipra
Lineage: Eukaryota; Metazoa; Chordata; Aves; Passeriformes; Pipridae
Exons: 2
Source: RefSeq, a predicted model, not a curated record
GGGCGGCCCAGGCAAGCACAAGGGGCAGCAUGAACUCCUGCUGAGGCGCUAGGUCUGAGCAGCAAACAGCGACGGCUGUUGCCCCAAACCUGCUGCCGGCACAGCUGCGCAGGUGAGCCCUUUCUCAAUUUUCUUGUAGUUCAAAAACAAACAUGCAGCCACUCGCGCUUUCCUCUCCGGAGCGGGCAGGAAGGGGAAGCAGACAGCCGCCAUGGUAACAGCCAGCUGACGGCAACCUGGGAAGGGCAACCAUCGGCCACCGCGUUCCCAGGCCCCCGGCCUUCCCCUCCUGCUCCUCCCCCGGGGGGGGGAACGCUGGCUUAUUUCCACAAAUACCGUAAAUAAGGGACCUGCAUUUCCACAGAGCCGCACCUGAUACCGCUUUCUACCUGUGGCUCACUCACUUCAGGAGUUCACUCCCUCACCAUGCUCCUGCAUCCUCAGCUGGAGAUUCAAGUCCUGCGCUGAUGGGCAACGUGCAGAAAGCGGAGCUGAAGAGGUGACCCACUGCUGUGCACAGCAGCAGCAGGGACCAGCAAGCACUAGCCAGCUGGGAAGAUCCUGAAACAAACUGACCUGCUAGGGAAACAAAAGAAUGACAACACUUACCCAAGUCUCAAAGAGACUGCAGGUACAAGUAAAGUAUGGAGCUGCCGGUGCUACAGGCUCAGUCACAGGACAGUCUGAGUCUCUGCACUACAUUAUUAGGAAACUUUUCUGAAGAUUUUUCCUAAAACAUAAAGUCAUUAUAAAGAAUGGUUUCCUGCAAACAGUACUAGUGUAAAAAAAGCAACUGUUAAAAAUUCCAUGGUUGUCCCUUAAUAAACAAUGAAGAAAAGCCUGAUGAAGUUUGUGAUAAAUGAUGCACAUGUAGCACUGUGUGCCCACUCUCUCAUGCCAAUGACUUUCUGAAAAGAGAUGCAGACUCCUGUUGCAUAAGCAGAAGUGUCUCAGAGGAGACUUUGAUAACUCUCAUGAGAGACAGAGGGGGAAAAAUAUGCAAAUUGUAACAGGUUUCACUUUCAAAGGAAAAUAACAUUUCCUCCUGGAUAGGAGGAAAUGUCAUUGUCAUUAGCUUGAGGCGAACAGGUACAUGCCUAGUUGUCUGCCCGCAGCCAAUAUGGAUGCAGGCAUUUGUGUUCCACAGGCUGCUCAAGCCUUUUGCAGCAAUGGUGAGAAUUAUUUGCUGAACCAACUGGGGAAUUCAGAGAAACAAAGUUUUCUAUAGCUAGAUCCACAGAGGCUUUUUGAGCAUGGUCAGCAUAUCCAAAUCAACUGCAGGAUUCCUGAUGUGUUGGAAAGGGGCUUUGUUGUUGUUUGUAAUGCACUUAUUUACUCAAGAAAGCUCAGCUCUGAUUCAGCAUCUGGUUCUCAUCGAGGCUCAGCUUUUUUUAAACCAAGCUUUCCAGAUGGGUUGACUGAAGCACAAGGAGGUCAAGAGACUUGUCUGAGGUCAUACAGCAAGUCAGUGGCUCUGCUUGGACCUGAGCCCAGAACUGUUCAAGGCUACCACUCCUUGGCUCUUAAAGAGACAAUUUUAUCCCCUGUGAAGUGAUCUUAUCUCCAUGAAGAAGAGAUGCAAUAAAAGCAGUCCCCUCAAAGCUGCAGCCUGCUUAAAAAGAGUUAUUUUAUUUGGAAAAAAGCUGUAGCAUUCCAGUGUCUCAAUGGAGCAAGUCAAACUGAAGGGGUGUGAUACUGAUAUACAGUGUCAUCCACCCCACCCCUGUAUAACCCUGUGCUCCUCUGGGGUGGCUUUACGCUGCUGCCGCCACUGUCCCUGAUUGUCUACUCAGAUCCCAGCUAGCAGCACAUCAUGUUGUGAAAUACACUGUUGGUUCAGCACAGAUUGAAGCCCCUCCUCAAGGCAAGGAAACUUAAGUUCACUCAGGACCUGCUCAGGACCUGAAGCAGAGCCCAAGCACUUGUUGCCACAGCCUGGGCAUAUGAGGUGUGGGCAGCACAUCUCAGCCAACCAACCAGCAGAUCCCCUAAGCUCAGCUCUGUUCUCCAUAAUCUCAGAGUACAGUCUUUAAGCUCAGCCACAGACUGGGCUACAGCAAGCAGUCACAGGCAAAGGCACACUUGCUCCAAACCAAGAAGGAGGUGGGAGGUCCUGGGUUCUUCUGAAGAAAACACGGCUUGGCUCUAGCUUAGUUUUCCAGG